This is a long non-coding RNA of Peromyscus leucopus (white-footed mouse), 1058 nucleotides long. RefSeq lists it as uncharacterized. The record is from RefSeq and is a predicted model, not a curated record. The transcript has 4 exons. NCBI's taxonomy places the organism in Eukaryota, Metazoa, Chordata, Mammalia, Rodentia, Cricetidae.
AAAAUCCAUUUUCAAUAAAAGAAAAAGAAUACUAAAAAAGAAAAAGAACAGUAGUGUGAUGGUUUGAUAAAAAUGGCCCUGAUAGGCUCACAUAUUUGAAUUCCUAGUCAUCAGGGAGUAGCACUAUUUGAGAAGGAUUAGGAGGUAUGGCCUUGUUGGAGUGGGUGUGGCUUUGUUGAUACAUAGGAGGGUGGGCUGAGAUUUCAAAAGCUGACACCAGGCCAGUGUCUCUCUCUCUCUCUCAGCCUAUGGAUCAGGUUGCAGCUCUCCGCUACUGUUCCAGUACCAUGUUACCCACAUGAUGAUACUGGACUAAGCCUCUAAAAUGGCAAGCGAGUCCCUCAAUUUAACACUUUCUUUUGUAAGAGUCGCCUUGGUCAUGACAUCUCUUGCCAGCAAUGGACCAGUGACUAAGACAAGUUGUCACUUCAGAACAAACUUGAGAGUGGACCUGUGCCAACAAAUCAGAGGGAUGGUCUUGCAUGUCUGAGGAUUACCGGACUGUCCAAACAGAAGCCCCUGUACGAGGAUGAGGUUACCCAGGCAACUAGCAAUCUUCUGUGCAGUGUUCCUGCCCUUUCCCAUGGAAACACAGUUUAUGCAUGUGCUGUGUGAUCUGUCUUGAUACUGUCAUCAGCAACAGCAUUUAGGCCUCGUAGCCUAACAGCCCCAGGCUAAGAAGAGGAAUCCUUCCUUCCGUUUCUACAUGAUGUUCUCAUCUGAACCACAGGAUGAACCCUAGACUGGGAACCACAACAGAAGCAGCAUGAAGCCCCCCACCAGAAGCUGAGCAGGUGUCCAAACCACAUCCUUGGACUUCCCAGUCUUCUGACCACUGCGUCCCUUAUACAUCACCAUGCUGUUGUUUGGUUCCAGCAACAGCUAACAGAAUAGAACAGUCCACUUAAAGAAAGGUAUUGGUCACAUUCUCUAAAACCCCACCAGGGACAGUCAAAGUAUUUUUUAGAACCUAAAUCUUUAAAAAGAACACCAUGCUUGUGAUUUUUAUAACCAUUAUAAAAUACAAUGGUUAUAUAGGUCUUCUUUCUCCUUUUUUU